GAAUACACCGGUAAUCUGAAUAAUCAGCUGAUCGAAGGAAAUGUUACUUACCAGUAGCGUGCAGGUCGAACGAAAGAGAUGCAGUUUUCUUUACUUGUUGCGUCGUUCGAAUGUGUCCUGUCUUUCGUUUGCGUCCUUCUGACUUUUUUCUUUCUUCCUGCACGUCAAUAGAAACCUCACUUGCUCGAACGAACAGUGUGCCACGCCGGCCAGACUUUCGAUGGAUCCGGUUAAAAAUAUAUACAGGGCGGGGCUCGACGGAGAUGCUCGAGCUUGCUCGACGAUUCUUCCUCCUUCUUGGCUUUCAAAGAAUCUGGAAAAUUCUGGGAUAUUUACGCUUAAGUAGCGUGGCGCGAUCAGAUCGCUGAUAAUAGCUCCAGGUUGCGGAUAUUUAUAAAGAUAAACAUUUUUGUGAAGAAAUGGAACCUAAGCAAAAAUUUUCUUCAUCUGCUAAAUAUUACAUCGAACUUUAGGUAUUUUAUACAUGUUUGAAUCUUUGAAAUUCGCAUAAGUAUGUAUUAUACAUAAAAAUUCGCAGCUCAUUCGUAAAUAAAGAACCGCGUAUUAAAGAAUUCGGCUAAUAAGUGAACAAUUUGUAUCGUAAGGAUAUCAAAGGCUAGCGACAAAUGUAACUUUGCUUUGAUGCAAAAGAGUGAAGAAUGUGGUAGAAGAUAUUAC
Molecule: unclassified non-coding RNA, 678 nt
Filed under: Bombus terrestris (buff-tailed bumblebee)
Lineage: Eukaryota; Metazoa; Arthropoda; Insecta; Hymenoptera; Apidae
Description: misc RNA ENSBTSG00005030952.1
Source: RNAcentral